AGAGUUUGAUCAUGGCUCAGGAUGAACGCUGGCGGCGUGCCUAAUACAUGCAAGUCGAGCGAGAAUUUUUCAAAUGACACCUCGGUUGAUUUUGGAAAAGGACAGCGGCGGACGGGUGAGUAACGCGUAGGCAACCUGCCCCUGACAGAGGGAUAGCCAUUGGAAACGAUGAUUAAAACCUCAUAACGCCGAAGGAACACAUGUUUCAUCGGCCAAAGAUUUAUCGGUCAGGGAUGGGCCUGCGUCUGAUUAACUAGUUGGUGAGGUAACGGCCCACCAAGGUGACGAUCAGUAGCCGACCUGAGAGGGUGAUCGGCCACAUUGGAACUGAGACACGGUCCAAACUUCUACGGAAGGCAGCAGUAGGGAAUCUUGCACAAUGGGCGAAAGCCUGAUGCAGCAACGCCGCGUGAAGGAUGAAGGCCUUCGGGUUGUAAACUUCUGUUCUUAGGGAAGAAGAAAGUGACGGUACCUAAGGAGAAAGCCCCGGCUAACUACGUGCCAGCAGCCGCGGUAAUACGUAGGGGGCAAGCGUUAUCCGGAAUUAUUGGGCGUAAAGAGUGCGUAGGUGGUUAUCUAAGCGUAAGGUUUAAGCGUGCAGCUCAACUGCAUCUCGCCUUGCGAACUGGACUACUUGAGUGCAGGAGGGGAAAGCGGAAUUCCUAGUGUAGCGGUGAAAUGCGUAGAUAUUAGGAGGAACACCAGCGGCGAAGGCGGCUCUCUGGACUGUAACUGACACUGAGGCACGAAAGCGUGGGGAGCAAACAGGAUUAGAUACCCUGGUAGUCC
RNAcentral lists this ribosomal RNA (789 nucleotides) under uncultured bacterium. Its description in RNAcentral is "bacterial SSU rRNA". It matches the Rfam family "Bacterial small subunit ribosomal RNA", at positions 8 to 796 of the family's 1533-position model. The record is from RNAcentral.